AACAGGAUUAGAUACCCUGGUAGUCCACGCCGUAAACGAUGCUAACUCGUUUUUGGGUUUUCGGAUUCAGAGACUAAGCGAAAGUGAUAAGUUAGCCACCUGGGGAGUACGUUCGCAAGAAUGAAACUCAAAGGAAUUGACGGGGGCCCGCACAAGCGGUGGAUUAUGUGGUUUAAUUCGAUGAUACGCGAGGAACCUUACCAAGGCUUAAAUGGGAAUUGACAGGUUUAGAAAUAGACUUUUCUUCGGACAAUUUUCAAGGUGCUGCAUGGUUGUCGUCAGCUCGUGCCGUGAGGUGUUAGGUUAAGUCCUGCAACGAGCGCAACCCCUGUCACUAGUUGCCAUCAUUCAGUUGGGGACUCUAGUGAGACAGCCUACGCAAGUAGAGAGGAAGGUGGGGAUGACGUCAAAUCAUCACGGCCCUUACGCCUUGGGCCACACACGUAAUACAAUGGCCGGUACAGAGGGCAGCUACACAGCGAUGUGAUGCGAAUCUCGAAAGCCGGUCUCAGUUCGGAUUGGAGUCUGCAACUCGACUCUAUGAAGCUGGAAUCGCUAGUAAUCGCGCAUCAGCCAUGGCGCGGUGAAUACGUUCCCGGGCCUUGUACACACCGCCCGUCAAGCCAUGGAAGUCUGGGGUACCUGAAGUCGGUGACCGUAACAGGAGCUGCCUAGGGUAAAACAGGUAACUAGGGCUAAGUCGUAACAAGGUAACC
This 716-nucleotide ribosomal RNA is filed under the name uncultured bacterium. RNAcentral describes it as "bacterial SSU rRNA". It matches the Rfam family "Bacterial small subunit ribosomal RNA", at positions 771 to 1501 of the family's 1533-position model. The record is from RNAcentral.